CAGAACCAGAAUGAGUAGCUC
This 21-nucleotide microRNA is filed under the name Triticum aestivum (bread wheat). RNAcentral's name for it is "tae-miR9679-5p". Lineage: Eukaryota; Viridiplantae; Streptophyta; Magnoliopsida; Poales; Poaceae. The record is from miRBase by way of RNAcentral.